This 253-nucleotide ribosomal RNA is filed under the name uncultured bacterium. RNAcentral describes it as "partial 16S ribosomal RNA". It matches the Rfam family "Bacterial small subunit ribosomal RNA", at positions 524 to 776 of the family's 1533-position model. The record is from RNAcentral.
GACAGAGGUGCCGAGCGUUAGGCGGAAUCACUGGGCUUAAAGCGUGUGUAGGCGGGCGAUCAAGUACCUUGUGAAAUCCCACGGCUCAACCGUGGAACCGCUGGGUAUACUGGUUGUCUUGAGCCGGCUAGGGGCGAGCGGAACAGACGGUGGAGCGGUGAAAUGCGUAGAUAUCGUCUGGAACGCCGAAGGUGAAAACAGCUAGCUAGGGCCGCGCUGACGCUGAGACACGAAAGCCAGGGGAGCGAACGGG